Molecule: ribosomal RNA, 260 nt
Filed under: uncultured bacterium
Lineage: Bacteria
Description: partial 16S ribosomal RNA
Rfam family: Bacterial small subunit ribosomal RNA
Source: RNAcentral
GUCCACGCAGUAAACGAUGAGUGCUAGUUGUCGGGCUUUGGGCUUCGGUGGCGAAGUUAACACGAUAAGCACUCCGCCUGGGGACUACGGUCGCAAGACUAAAACUCAAAGGAAUUGACGGGACCCGCACAAGCAGUGGAGCAUGUGGUUUAAUUCGAUGCUACGCGAAAACCUUACCAACCCUUGACAUCUGGAUGACCGGUACAGAGAUGUGCUUUUGGAGCAAUCCACAUCCAAGACAGGUGUUGCAUGGCUGUCGU